UUUGUUCGUUCGGCUCGCGUUAA
This 23-nucleotide non-coding RNA is filed under the name Biomphalaria glabrata. Lineage: Eukaryota; Metazoa; Mollusca; Gastropoda; Planorbidae. RNAcentral also lists the same sequence under 3 other names. The record is from RNAcentral.